Haplochromis burtoni (Burton's mouthbrooder) is the source of this 788-nucleotide long non-coding RNA. RefSeq lists it as uncharacterized. The transcript is spliced from 2 exons. The record is from RefSeq and is a predicted model, not a curated record. NCBI's taxonomy places the organism in Eukaryota, Metazoa, Chordata, Actinopteri, Cichliformes, Cichlidae.
UGGGCAAUUUGGAUUAAUCAAUUAACCUAUCUAAGUAUAUUUAGGGCUUUGGAGCGUGAUGUCACGGGGGUGGGCGUGGAAAGGAUUUUGGCCUGAUGCGCCAUUUUCCGGGUCCAAAGCGCAAGUGAAAAAAGAGCGAAGGCAUACACAACAGCCAUGGUUCGUAUUUGCUGUACUGGCUGCACAGUUCGAUCGCACGACUGGCAAGAGAAUAAGCUUGAAAAUGGUUUAUCUUUUCACUCUUUCCCAACCUGGAAGCAACAUGAGGCAGCUCGUGUAUCGAUGUUGCCAAACGAAGCCAUCUAGUCUGGAUAGCAGCUGUGAGACGAGCUGAUAUCCAGUUCUCUUCUAUCUCCAAAUAUCUGUUGGUGCUCCAGACAUUUGCAUUCCGCAAACCAGCCUAUGACAAGGAUGACAUCGUGACUGGGUUCCAGCGCUACACAAGGGACCUGCUUCAAACAUACUACCAUGCCAGUCAGAUUACUUCUUCCAUGUGAGGGUGAAGAGGUGACCCUUCUGGAUAAGAUGGUGAAGGUUUGCUGCGUUUUGGUGAACAGUGUGGUAGUAAAACCAGGGAAAAUGAAACCUGCUCAUGUUAAAUAUUCUUAAGUCUUUUGCUGUAUAAAUAGCGGUAUUUUUUCAAAAGAUACAGUAAAUAAAGUGCUGGUAGUGGGUGACAUCAUGUAAACACUGUCAUGAUUUUGUGUAAACAUUUUGUCAUUUGUAAACUAUAAAUGACAUGGAUUCUACACUGUAACUGAUGUGAUGUUCUAUAAAGUGGUUUUAAU